AAUAACUGGGGGCGAGGUUGCGGGGGAAGACGAAGGGUCCAAUCGUUGUUCGGAAUUGUUGGGUUUAAAGGGUGCGUAGGUGGAGUAAUAAGUCAGGGGUGAAAGACAUCGGAGCAACCGAUGCAGUGCCUUUGAUACUGUUGAGCUUGAAUUAUGUUGAAGAUGGCGGAAUGAGACAAGUAGCGGUGAAAUGCAUAGAUAUGUCUCAGAACACCGAUUGCGAAGGCAGCUGUCUAAACAUGGAUUGACACUGAUGCACGAAAGCGUGGGGAUCAAACAGGAUUAGAUACCCGGGUAGUC
Molecule: ribosomal RNA, 300 nt
Filed under: uncultured Methanococcoides sp.
Lineage: Archaea; Methanobacteriati; Methanobacteriota; Methanomicrobia; Methanosarcinales; Methanosarcinaceae
Description: bacterial SSU rRNA
Rfam family: Bacterial small subunit ribosomal RNA
Source: RNAcentral